CACCGCCUGGGGAGUACGACCGCAAGGUUAAAACUCAAAUGAAUUGACGGGGACCCGCACAAGUAGUGGAGCAUGUGGUUUAAUUCGAAGAUACGCGCAGAACCUUACCAACACUUGACAUGUUCGUCGCGACUUUAAGAGAUUAAAGUUUUCGGUUCGGCCGGACGAAACACAGGUGCUGCAUGGCUGUCGUCAGCUCGUGUCGUGAGAUGUUGGGUUAAGUCCCGCAACGAGCGCAACCCUCACUUUUAGUUGCCAUCAUUAAGUUGGGCACUCUGAAAGAACUGCCAGUGAUAAGCUGGAGGAAGGUGGGGAUGACGUCAAGUCCUCAUGGCCCUUACGUGUUGGGCUACACACGUGCUACAAUGGUAUCUACAACGGGAAGCAAAACAGCGAUGUUAAGCAAAUCCUUAAAAGAUACCUCAGUUCGGAUUGCACUCUGCAACUCGAGUGCAUGAAGCUGGAAUUACUAGUAAUCGUGGAUCAGCGUGCCACGGUGAAUGCGUUCCCGGGUCUUGUACACACCGCCCGUCACACCAUGGGAGUUGGUUCUACCUUAAGGCAAGGUUUUAAACCCUUGACCACGGUAUAGUCAGCGACUGGGGUGAAGUCGUAACAAGGUAGCCGUAGGGGAACCUGCGGCUGGAUUACCUCCUUUCUAAGGAUGAGUGAAAUUUUAUUUCAUUCUAAAUAAUUUACAUAGGCAAUGUUGACCGUCCUCAUUUCUCUUCUUAGAUUAGUGUUUCUCUUGCAUGGGGGCCGGUAGCUCAGUUGGUUAGAGCACACCCUUGAUAAGGGUGGGGUCGAAAGUUCGAGUCUUUCUCGGCCCACCAAUAAAAGAUUAAGGGGGAUUAGCUCAGCUGGGAGAGCGCCUGAUUUGCAUUCAGGAGGUCAGCGGUUCGAUCCCGCUAUCCUCCACCAAAACACUUAGUUAUAUAAAUUGUAAAUUAAAAUUAUUAAUAUCAAUAUCUAUAUCCGAACAUUAACAAGUUGUUAUUCAAGUUAAUGUUCAAACAAAAAAUUUGAUUCAACACAGAAUUUUUUUCUG
RNAcentral lists this small RNA (1048 nucleotides) under uncultured Pelagibacterales bacterium. RNAcentral describes it as "bacterial SSU rRNA". The stretch from base 1 to 658 matches the Rfam family "Bacterial small subunit ribosomal RNA", at positions 867 to 1533 of the family's 1533-position model. The record is from RNAcentral. Lineage: Bacteria; Pseudomonadati; Pseudomonadota; Alphaproteobacteria; Candidatus Pelagibacterales.